UGGAAUGAAGUGAUUACACCCAUGUUCUAGUUUACGUACAAUCUUUUGCCAUGUUGGCUCAUGACUAUGCUUAUAAAUUUUUGCCCCCUCUCAACUUUUUUCCUGGGUCCGCCCCUGUAACCAGAUACCAUAUCUCAUUGGUGAAAAGACCACACUUCAUUAGGACAUGCUAGACGCCAAAGUUCCCGUGAUUAAAUUAUGGGUACGACGAACCAGGAAUGACGAGUACUUUAGCUGCCCGGAAUGUUUCCUGAUCCCCAUGCCUCCAUGUCCUUUCAAUUGCGCUUUCUGAAAUUUACAUAAAUCGGUCAAACUUGUAGAUACCGAUUGUUGGCAUAGGCCCAACCUUAUAAGUAGGCUCCACGAGUAUUCUUCAUCGAGACGAUCCUGUACUCAGCAACCGCUAGAGACACGCGUAUGUACACAAGAAACUAGCUGGCAGGCAGGUGGAUUAAUUCCUUAGCCUAACUAGCUAAUGCCCCAUGUGUUGUUGUGGUAAGUUGAGCACCGCAUACAUCCAAUCAAAAGAAAAUAUAAGCUUGAAAAUUAAUUUUCAAAAGUGUGUGAAAAUAGAUAAACUUUUGAAUUAUAGUUAAAAAUAUCAUUUUGAACAAAAAUAUGAAACACGACUAACAUGCAUAUAUGAUAUGACAGCAUUACAACCAUAGACUAAUACAAAAAUAGUAGUAAUUUAAGUUAAAUGCAUGGCUUAUUUAUGUGGGAGACUCAAGAUGCAUGGCUUAAUGAAAGAGAAGACUUCAAUGCAUGGCUUAGCGGGGGUGUUGAGGUGGACACUUUACAUGUUAAAAGAAUUGGGACCAACUUCCUAAGAAUAAGUUUAAAAUAUCAUUUCGAUCAAAAUUGUGAAUGAUGACUAACAUGCAUAUAUGAUGUGACAGCGUUACAUGCGUAGACUAAUACUACAAAAGUAGUUGUAAUUUAAGUUAAAUUCUUGGCUUGUUUAUGUGACAGACUUAAGGUGCAUGGCUUAAUGAAAGAUAAGACUUGAAUGCAAGGCUUAGUAGGGAUGUUGAGGUGAAUAUUUUACAUGUUAAAAGAAUUGUGAUCAACUUUUUUUAAUAAUAAUAGAAGAUUAGCUAAUGCACGUAUCGAGGAACAAGCUGGCAUCAAUAUGAGCAAGCAACAUACCGAAACACAAGACGAAAUAUGAUGGCACCUGUUGAUAUCUUUCUAUUGAUCUGGCUAAGUUUACAGGGUUGGUUACAAGCAUAUAUUGCACUAAGAGUCCUAAUCUAUAUGCAAUACAUAUACGGUCCCUGUACAAGCCAGACACGGAUACAACAUCGAGGUUAAUUAAUUCCAAAAGCUUGUUUACUA
RNAcentral lists this long non-coding RNA (1338 nucleotides) under Hordeum vulgare. RNAcentral describes it as "long non-coding RNA (HVUL_LNC013755)". The record is from RNAcentral. Lineage: Eukaryota; Viridiplantae; Streptophyta; Magnoliopsida; Poales; Poaceae.